UCCCAGAGGAGAUCAUCCAGCUCGUCAUGCUAGAGCACUUUUUCAAUGUGCUCCCCAACGACAAGGCGACGACGCAUUCGUAUGUCAAUGCAUAUCAACUUUGAUGCCAUUUACUGCGCCUACCAUGGUGACCAUGGGUAACGGGGAAUCAGGGUUUUCGAUUCCGUACAGGGACCCUGACAAAAGGCUACCACAUGUAAGGAAGGCAGCAGGUGCGCAAAUGACCCACUCCGGACGCGGGGAGGUAGUGAUGA
This is a non-coding RNA of Pelobates cultripes (western spadefoot toad), 254 nucleotides long. The record is from the annotation of a GenBank genome assembly. Lineage: Eukaryota; Metazoa; Chordata; Amphibia; Anura; Pelobatidae.